RNAcentral lists this ribosomal RNA (300 nucleotides) under uncultured Bacillus sp. RNAcentral's name for it is "bacterial SSU rRNA". It matches the Rfam family "Bacterial small subunit ribosomal RNA", at positions 496 to 795 of the family's 1533-position model. Lineage: Bacteria; Bacillati; Bacillota; Bacilli; Caryophanales; Bacillaceae. The record is from RNAcentral.
UGUAACGUGUGGGCAGCGGCGGCGGUAAUACGAAGGGGGCGAACGUUGCUCGGAAUUAUGUGGCGUAAAGCGUACGGAGGCGGCUUAGCAAGUCGCAUGUGAGAUCCCACUGGUUAACCGUGGAAGUGCAUGGGAAACUGCUGAGCUUGAGUACUUAAGAGGAUCGCGGAAUUCCCGGUGUAGAGGUGAAAUUCGUAGAUAUCGGGAGGAACACCAGUGGCGAAGGCGGCGAUCUGGGAAGAUACUGACGCUGAGGUGCGAAAGCGUGGGGAGCAAACAGGAUUAGAUACCCGGGUAGUC